CCUACGGGAGGCAGCAGUGAGGAAUAUUGGUCAAUGGGCUUACGCCUGAACCAGCCAAGUCGCGUGAGGGAAGACUGCCCUAUGGGUUGUAAACCUCUUUUGUCAGGGAGCAAUUGGCGCUACGUGUAGCGUUAUCGAGAGUACCUGAAGAAAAAGCAUCGGCUAACUCCGGCCCAGCAGCCGCGGUAAUACGGAGGAUGCGAGCGUUAUCCGGAUUUAGUGGGUUUAAAGGGUGCGUAGGCGGAAUGCCAAGUCAGCGGUAAAAUCGCGGGGCUAAACCUCGCUUCGCCGUUGAAACUGGCGUUCUUGAGUGGGCGAGAGGUAUGCGGAAUGCGUGGUGUAGCGGUGAAAUGCAUAGAUAUCACGCAGAACUCCGAUUGCGAAGGCAGCAUACCGGCGCCCAACUGACGCUGAAGCACGAAAGCGUGGGUAUCGAACAGGAUUAGAUACCCUAGUAGUC
Molecule: ribosomal RNA, 460 nt
Filed under: uncultured bacterium
Lineage: Bacteria
Description: partial 16S ribosomal RNA
Rfam family: Bacterial small subunit ribosomal RNA
Source: RNAcentral